Molecule: non-coding RNA, 2621 nt
Organism: Lactuca sativa (garden lettuce)
Lineage: Eukaryota; Viridiplantae; Streptophyta; Magnoliopsida; Asterales; Asteraceae
Source: RefSeq, a predicted model, not a curated record
CACAUUGUUAGCUAUGGGAAUUAUGGAAGACGUUAGUAUUGUUCCACAGCCUGCUGGAGAUUCAGGGAAGGUGGACCUCACUAUUAAUGCAGUUGAACGUGUCACUAUUAAUGCAGUUGAACGUGUAAGUGAAUAGUGGAAUCACAAGUGGCCCUUUAGCAGGACUUAUUGGAAGUGGGACACCCGCUUGCAGCGUCGGCGUCACUGCUACUGCUGAUGAUGGGGGUAGUGGGUUGGAGUCGUGAUGGUGUUUCGCCUUUGCUCACCUCUUCUAUUUCUCACCUUCUUAUUCCUUUUAUCUCUAUCAUCGGUGAAGAAGAAGACCACGACACCUGCGAUAGAACCCUUCGAAGCUACAAUUAUUAUUCUUAGCUUUUAGUUACUUUAUUUCAUUAUUUUUUUCAUACUUUUAAUAUGCCUCUGUUGCAGUUUAUCCGUAUUUAACUGAAGUAUCCAUCAUGUUAUCUGAUAACACAGUUCACAAGAUAAACAGAUUCUAUGUGAUUCACUGAUCAACUAUUACAUACGCACCCUUCCAACAAUUCUAGAUGAAUACAAACCUCAUACAUACAACUUCCCAGGUAAAACAAUUUUUUUAAAUAUAAAUAUCUUUUACUUCAGCUUCACUCGAUAUAAAUAUAAAUGCCUACCAUAUCCAGUGUAAUCAUGUUAUCGGAUUAGUUUACCACAUUUUGAUAGUUGAUAACCAAGACAGCAGCAAGCAACAAAGCUGUUACUGUUUUUAUAGUUAAAAAAAUUUGCAUUCUAACAUUUUUGCACCAAAUUGCUAAUGCAUACUCUUUCUAUAGUUAAAAAUUUUGAUUUUAAGAUUUUUGGACCAAACUGCCAUUGCAUACUGUUUUUCAACUUAAAAAAACUGAUUUUAACACUUUUGUACCAAAACUGCCCCUGCAUACUAUUUUUUAUACUUAAAAAAAUUGAUUUUAACAGCUGUGGACCAAAAUACCCCUGUAUGUUCGAAUAAUUAGAUUUAGGGGCAGGGGCAUAAUCGAAAAGUUGAUGGUAAACUUCUAUUCCUUUUUUUAGUCCGGUUGUUUGUAAAAUGUUUGUAUUAUUUACAGUUGGUUUGUUCUUUGGAAUAAUCACAGUUGUCGGUUAUUUUUUCCCUUUGACAUCCUUUCGCAAAUUGAUAGAGGUAUUUGCUAAAGGAAUGGACUUUCACUUGCUAUAAUUGAAUAAAUUUUUGGGUUUUAAUAACCUUUUUUUUUUGUUAAAGCAAACAUAUAUUUUGUAGCUAGACUUUGACUUGCUAUAAUUGAAUAAAUCUUCCAAAGUACAAUGAUGCAAUAGGAAGAAAUGAAAGCAUGUUGCUAUUUAUUCUAUUAACACAUUUUUUUCCCACUUAGGCUAAAGGUUUUUUUUGGAUCAAUGUAAACAUCAAGGAAGAACUUUUAACGGAAAUUUGCUAAUUCCUACCCCUUCAAUUCUUUAGCCAUUUUGACACUUCUGAUCCUUGCAGUCAAAACUUUUACAUUUUUUGCUUUUGGUCCUUGCAAUCAAUAUUUUUACACUUUUUAGAAACCUUUUAACAUUUAAAGUUUGGCCACAAAACUUUAACGGUUUGACAACUUCGAUCCCUUUUGUAAACAGUUGCUAAUUCUUACCCCUUUAAUUUUUUAGCCAUUUUGACACUUCUGGUCCUUGCAGUCAUAACUUUUACAUUUAUCAUAAAAACAUGAAAAAAAACGGUCUGGGGCAAAAGCCCGGGCUUUUCAUCCUUGCACAUUCUACGUUUGUCAUAUUUAUCGAUUCGGAAACAACAUUGAAAGCUUCUGGCCCCCGCGUAGCGGGGUAACCUUUCUAGUUUGUCAUUAAUUUAUGAGACUUGCAUCAUAUUUAUGUAUAUCAAAUUUCCCACCGUAAGAAAUUUAAUCUUGUAGUUGGCCUUUAUUUAUUCGUUCGUUUUCAUGAAGUGAUUAUCAAAAUUUACUGAGUGUUCAAUACAUUGUUUAUAAAAUCACCUAAAUAUUUAUAAAUUGAUAAAUUUGAAAUUUGAUAAUUCGAAGUGAUGAGUGGUAACUACGAUGUUAGACUUAAGUGAUUGGACCAAAGAAAUGUUGUUUGGUUUGACAUUGGAGUUGAUUAAACACCACAUUAAGCAAUUGUUUGAUUUAUUAUUCAAGGAACCCAAAGACUAAUUGAAUAAUGACUCGUGCAAUGAAUUUUAAUCAUAAAUUGCAUAAAUAUUGUAUUUUUUCCCAAAGGUGAUUGCAAUGUUUGUAUAGCGUAGUAUAACUUUUAGGAUGCCAUAAUAUUCAAUUGUUGGUCUAGCCAAAGCGAAACCGAUAAUUGAAUAAGGUAUCUAUAAAAUCUAUCAUUUUGGUGUUAGUGAUAGGCACAUUGAUAUGUUUAUUUCAUUAUCAUGUUAAAUCAUAUUAGUUAUUUCCUUAAAAACAUUUAAUUAAAGCAUAAUGAUAAGAUGAUAAACGAAUUUUAGUAAGGUCAAAGUUCAAGUGAAAAACAACAUAGUUUACAUUCGUAAAGUGGCUUAUGAAGAAAUGUAACUCGUAUGCUUUAUGAUUCAUGAGUCCCUUAAUCUUGGUGUCCCUAUAAAUACAUGGUAGAUUGUCUUCAAUUCAUUGGUAUAUGUAUGCAUUUCA